AGAGUUUGAUCCUGGCUCAGAAUCAACGCUGGCGGCGUGCCUAACACAUGCAAGUCGAACGAGAAAGCGGGGGCAACUCCGCGAGUACAGUGGCGAACGGGUGAGUAACACGUGACUAACCUGCCUUCGAGUGGGGGAUAACCCCGGGAAACCGGGGCUAAUACCGCAUAACAUCGCGAGGUGAAAUUCCUUGUGAUCAAAUGCGCAAGUAGCUUGAAGAGGGGGUCGCGGCUGAUUAGCUAGUUGGUGAGGUAACGGCUCACCAAGGCGAUGAUCAGUAGCCGGCCUGAGAGGGCGCACGGCCACACUGGAACUGAAACACGGUCCAGACUCCUACGGGAGGCAGCAGUGGGGAAUUUUGCGCAAUGGGGGAAACCCUAACGCAGCAACGCCGCGUGGAGGAUGAAGUCCCUUGGGACGUAAACUCCUUUCGACCGGGACGAAUAUUGACGGUACCGGUGGAAGAAGCCCCGGCUAACUUCGUGCCAGCCGCCGCGGUAAU
This 502-nucleotide ribosomal RNA is filed under the name uncultured bacterium. RNAcentral's name for it is "bacterial SSU rRNA". It matches the Rfam family "Bacterial small subunit ribosomal RNA", at positions 8 to 524 of the family's 1533-position model. The record is from RNAcentral.